AAGUCACGUGAGAACCUGGGGACGCUAGGUUCCGGAACCUGACCUGAGCUGGGGCCUGUGCUUCCAGCGGGUGGUGGGGGGCCUGGUGUGCUGGCAUCAAGUAAGCCGACUACCUCGGCAAAGGCUUAGGGACAAGAGACCAGCAGCCUGAACUGGCUGGGGCAUCCGGAAGGCUUAGAUCUUGUGGCCAAGAGUUCAGACCGUGGCGAAGUGGAGAGUGACAUGCAGUUGGAUGGCGGUGACUGCGUGGUCCUGCAACCCUGGUUCCAGUCUGGCAAGCAUUGUAGACCUGGCUGCUGAAGACUGACGGGGCCCAGGGUCCGCUGCCCCCACCGCCAUCACCACCUCGGAACCCAGGGUAACGCUGUCAGUCUUUGAGCCUACGAGGAAACCAUUCGGAAGCUCCAGAACCCAGGCCCUAAUCACAACGCCCCUAUCCAGCAGGAAGCAGCCAGAUGAUCAACGACGCCCUUUUUCCUUUUUAUACUAAAGUAAGAAAUAAGAAUGUUAGCCCAAACUGCACUAUUUUGCAGACCCCUACCAUUUUACAAACUGGUCAGAGUGGAAAAUUCCACCAGGGCCUGAGCUGUGAGAAACAUCCUGUCAGGCAGGUCCCAGGCCUAACCCCUGGCUGCACUAAAUUCCUUCAUUAUCAGCAGCCAAACACACCGCCCCCACCCCAUUUUCACAACAAUCCCAGACCUCUCCUGCCCGGGACUGUAACUGGUCCAGCCUGUAAGCGGGAAGGGGGCUCUGGCACUAGCUGGUACCCCCUCUCCGCAGGUCUUUCUCCCAAUAAAUCUGUGUUGCCAUUGA
Molecule: long non-coding RNA, 816 nt
Filed under: Homo sapiens (human)
Lineage: Eukaryota; Metazoa; Chordata; Mammalia; Primates; Hominidae
Description: HSALNT0407705
Source: RNAcentral